This 540-nucleotide unclassified non-coding RNA is filed under the name Vahlkampfia sp. AK-2007. Its description in RNAcentral is "partial contains ITS1, 5.8S ribiosomal RNA, ITS2, 28S ribosomal RNA". The stretch from base 148 to 303 matches the Rfam family "5.8S ribosomal RNA". The record is from RNAcentral. Lineage: Eukaryota; Heterolobosea; Eutetramitea; Acrasida; Vahlkampfiidae.
AACAUCCAAAACUUUCGCCUGCCUCGGUAGGCGAAAAUCCACACCAAAUUUUCGGCCGGUUCAAGUGCCUAAAUUUUUUAAGCAACAAAAAUUUUUUCAGCCAAAAUUAUCUACUAGAGAAUAAUCUCUCAGCAGAAUUUUUAAAAUCACUGUUAACAACGGAUCUCUAGGCUCCUGUAACGAUGAAGAGCGCAGCGAAAUGUGAUAAUUGAUGUGAAUUGCAGAAAUAUGUGAAUCAUCGAAACCUUGAACGCAGCUUGCGACAGCAGAGUAACUCUAUCUGUCAUGUUUGUUCGAGUGCCAGCUUAACUCUCACCCACAAAAAUUAUUUUUGUGACGGUGGUUAUGGCUCUUGAGCCCCGCUGGCUUAUGACGCUCAAAUAAUGCAAAAAGUUUCUGCCUGCUCACGAGGGGUAGCAUAAUCUUUAGCGUACUGAAUUUAUUCAGCAUCCUUUGACUUGCAGCUUCUUUUUGCACUCAUCAAAAUUUUUGAUUAUUUGGCCUCGGACAAGCAAGAUUACCUGCUGAAUUUAAGCAUAU